Molecule: non-coding RNA, 46 nt
Filed under: Schistosoma margrebowiei
Lineage: Eukaryota; Metazoa; Platyhelminthes; Trematoda; Strigeidida; Schistosomatidae
Source: RNAcentral
ACACUGCUGUGGAGUCCCACAAUAGGACGAAACGGCCGUCCAGUGU